Mytilus californianus (California mussel) is the source of this 512-nucleotide long non-coding RNA. RefSeq lists it as uncharacterized. The transcript is spliced from 3 exons. NCBI's taxonomy places the organism in Eukaryota, Metazoa, Mollusca, Bivalvia, Mytilida, Mytilidae. The record is from RefSeq and is a predicted model, not a curated record.
AGUAAGGGGAAAGAACUCAUUAAUCUAACGCAAACAUGGCGGCUAUCCGGGGAAAAUCAAGUUUUGUGUUUACAAAAAGAUUGUUUGUUCACUGUUAGUCACUUAAUGUAAGUGGGAAAAACUGAUUGGAUAAAGAUAUUAAACAGUCUUUAUAGUACAUGUGAAAUAGGAGACUCAUCUGAUUGUGGAAGUUUGUGUAGUUGAAAGGAGUUACAUACAGAUGCUGUUUUGAAUCAUAAGAAAUGACUGAUAUUAAUUCAUUUCUUCAGUUCCUCAUUAGCUUCUUCACAAGGAAUAAAUUGUGUAAGGAGUUCUAUAUUCCUAUUUAAAGACCUAACUUUUUUUUCCAUUUGAGUGUAUGAAAGCAAAUUAAUUGAAUUCAUUCUGAUUACUGAGCUUAUAUAGUUUUAUGUACAUGUAUAUGUGACUUUAUCUUUAUUUGACUUUUUAUUUAUAAGUUAUUUAAACAUUAAUAAUUUUAUUCUUUGUAUGAGAAGCUAUAAUCAAUCGAC